GGUUGAUCCUGCCAGUAGUCAUAUGCUUGUCUCAAAGAUUAAGCCAUGCAUGUCUAAGUAUAUACUUUUGUACAGUUGAACUGCGGAUGGCUCAUUAAAUCAGUUAUAGUUUAUCGAUGGUCACUUACUACAUGGAUAACCGUGGUAAUUCUAGAGCUAAUACAUGCGUAAAACCUCAUUAGAGGUGUGCUUGUCUGAAUUGAACCUUUACGGCUUGCCGUUUUUUGGUGAAUCAGGACAAAAGUACGAAUCGACUUCGGUCGAUGCAUCAUUCGAGUUUCUGCCCUAUCAG
Molecule: ribosomal RNA, 292 nt
Filed under: uncultured eukaryote
Lineage: Eukaryota
Description: partial 18S ribosomal RNA
Rfam family: Eukaryotic small subunit ribosomal RNA
Source: RNAcentral